UUAAUCUAGGAAAAUACGGUG
RNAcentral lists this microRNA (21 nucleotides) under Medicago truncatula (barrel medic). RNAcentral describes it as "mtr-miR1509a-5p". Lineage: Eukaryota; Viridiplantae; Streptophyta; Magnoliopsida; Fabales; Fabaceae. The record is from miRBase by way of RNAcentral.